AUUUUGAGAAUGCGGAAAUGGUGUCUCAUAGAACCGAAAAUGAUUUAAAUGCAACAUUUCUGAUCAAAAUCACAUAGGGAUUCCCCCCCCCCCUAGCAUCACAGAGAGGAAAUAAGGUGACACUGACCCCUCCUCCUAGUCUCCUCAAGGUGACUUUUCCAAUUUAUUUAAUUCCGAGUAGAAAUGUCUGGAAAAAUUCAUGUCUUCGAUGUACUUUAUAAUCUUCGGAACUCUUCGGAAUUUCACUCCCAAAAUGCUUGAAAUCGCUUGCAAUUCAAGGACCCUAGAUUUGAAAAUUUCCCCGGGGGUGCAUGCCCCCGGACCCUCCUAGACUGUUCGACCCCCCCCCCAAAAAAAAUAAAAAAAUUAAGGUCUGGCUACGACACUGGUUAUAGCUGUACGAUUAUAGCUACAAAGGAUUGAAGUUAUUGUCUAUAUAGGAGAAGUUAAUAAAUUCAAGUUUUACAAAAUCUCUCUUCAGACUCGCGUGUUCGCCAAACUUCGAUGGGUC
Paramuricea clavata is the source of this 511-nucleotide non-coding RNA. The record is from the annotation of a GenBank genome assembly. Lineage: Eukaryota; Metazoa; Cnidaria; Anthozoa; Malacalcyonacea; Plexauridae.